RNAcentral lists this ribosomal RNA (253 nucleotides) under uncultured bacterium. RNAcentral's name for it is "partial 16S ribosomal RNA". It matches the Rfam family "Bacterial small subunit ribosomal RNA", at positions 524 to 776 of the family's 1533-position model. The record is from RNAcentral.
UACGAAGGGGGCUAGCGUUGCUCGGAAUCACUGGGCGUAAAGCGCACGUAGGCGGAUUUUUAAGUCAGGGGUGAAAUCCUGGAGCUCAACUCCAGAACUGCCCUUGAUACUGGGAAUCUCGAGUCCGGGAGAGGUGAGUGGAACUGCGAGUGUAGAGGUGAAAUUCGUAGAUAUUCGCAAGAACACCAGUGGCGAAGGCGGCUCACUGGCCCGAUACUGACGCUGAGGCGCGAAAGCCAGGGGAGCAAACGGG